RNAcentral lists this ribosomal RNA (220 nucleotides) under uncultured bacterium. Its description in RNAcentral is "partial 16S ribosomal RNA". It matches the Rfam family "Bacterial small subunit ribosomal RNA", at positions 524 to 740 of the family's 1533-position model. The record is from RNAcentral.
UACGUAGGGGGCAAGCGUUUGUCCGGAUUUAUUGGGCGUAAAGAGCGUGUAGGCGGCCAUACAGGUCAGCUGUGAAAACUCGAGGCUCAACCUCGAGACGUCGGUUGAAACCGUAUGGCUAGAGUCCGGAAGAGGAGAGUGGAAUUCCCGGUGAUAGCGGUGAAAUGCGCAGAUAUCAGGAGGAACACCGGUGGUGUAAACGGCUUUCUGGACCGUAAAC